This 373-nucleotide long non-coding RNA is filed under the name Salmo salar (Atlantic salmon). RNAcentral describes it as "lncRNA (ENSSSAG00000099209.1)". The record is from RNAcentral. Lineage: Eukaryota; Metazoa; Chordata; Actinopteri; Salmoniformes; Salmonidae.
CUAGGUGGACCAGUCAUAGUCAGUACAUUCAUCUUCAGAUAGCUAGGUGGACCAGUCAUAGUCAGUACAUUCAUCUCCAGAUAGCUAGGUGGACCAGUCAUAGUCAGUCCAUUCAUCUUCAGAUAGCUAGGUGGACCAGUCAUAGUCAGUACAUUCAUCUCCAGAUAGCUAGGUGGACCAGUCAUAGUCAGUCCAUUCAUCACCAGAUAGUUAGGUGGACCAGUCAGUCCAUUCAUCUCCAGAUAGCUAGGUGGACCAGUCAUAGUCAGUCCAUUCAUCUCCAGAUAGUUAGGUGGACCAGUCAGUCCAUUCAUCUCCAGAUAGCUAGGUGGACCAGUCAUAGUCAGUCCAUUCAUCUCCAGAUAGCUAGGUG